This 200-nucleotide unclassified non-coding RNA is filed under the name Hevea brasiliensis (rubber tree). Lineage: Eukaryota; Viridiplantae; Streptophyta; Magnoliopsida; Malpighiales; Euphorbiaceae. The record is from RNAcentral.
UCACCGGCCCGAAGAAACGCUGGCGCAGGCCGACGCCGUGGAUGCCGCACUUGCGAAGGACGAACCUCCCGGGCCGCUUUGCGGCGUUCCGAUUACCGUCAAGGUCAACGUCGAUCAGGCUGGAUUCCGAACGGACUGAAGCUGCAGCGUGACCUUGUGGCGCAGACCAACAGCCCGGUGGUCGAUAACCUCCGCAAGGC